Molecule: ribosomal RNA, 3081 nt
Filed under: Anaerolineae bacterium
Lineage: Bacteria; Bacillati; Chloroflexota; Anaerolineae
Description: 23S ribosomal RNA
Rfam family: Bacterial large subunit ribosomal RNA
Source: RNAcentral
AAACAAGCUACAAAGGGCGUACGGUGGAUGCCUUGGCGCCAAGAGCCGAAGAAGGACGUGGCCUACUGCGAAAAGCUCCGGGGAGCCGUGAGCGGGCUUUGAUCCGGAGAUAUCCGAAUGGGGCAACCCACCCGGGGGAAUGCCCGGGUACCGCCGGCUGAAUACAUAGGUCGGCGGAGGGAACGGGGGGAACCGAAACAUCCUACUACCCCCAGGAAAAGACAAUAUUCCCUGAGUAGUGGCGAGCGAAAGGGGAACAGCCCAAACCCGCCUCGUGCUAAAGGCUGCAGUCGUUGCGAGGCGGGGGUAGUAAGGCCCGGCGGGGCCUCUGCAGGGGCCCAAGGGAGUUACCAAUCUGCUUGCUAGCCAAACGGUCUGGAAAGGCCGGCCAUAGAGGGUGAUAGCCCCGUAGACGAAAGUGAGCAGACUCCUGCCGGUGGCCUUGAGUACCACGGGACACGCUAACCUUGUGGGAACCAGGGGGGUCCACCCUCUAAGGCUAAACACUCUUGGCGACCGAUAGCGGACGAGUACCGUGAGGGAAAGGUGAAAAGAACCGGGGUGACCGGAGUGAAAUAGAACCUGAAACCGUAUGCCUACAAGCAGUGGAAGGGCAAUGCCGCUGCUAGCCAGCCUUGCCAGUGAUGAGCUGGUGGGGUUGGUGCGGGGCGGCAAGCCUGACCGCGUUCCUCUUGGAGAAGGACCCAGCGAGUCAAUCUCUGUGGCGAGGUUAAGGGAGUUACACCCGGAGCCGAAGCGAAAGCGAGUCUGAAGAGGGCACAUGGGCGGGGACAACCCGCCCGAGUCGCAGGGAUUGGACCCGAAACCAGGUGAGCUACCCAUGGCCAGGCUGAAGCGGGGUGCAUCAACCACCCUGCGGAGGGCCGGACCUACCAAUGUUGCAAAAUUGGGGGAUGAGCUGUGGGUAGAGGUGAAAUGCCAAGCGAACCUGGAUAUAGCUGGUUCUCCCCGAAAUAGCUCUAGGGCUAGCGUCAGGGGUUCAGUGGCGGGGGUAGAGCAACCGGAUUGGGUAGGAGGCCAAGAGCCGGCCGAACCAAACCGAACUCCGAAUGCCGCCACUCCACACCCUGGCAGUCAGACAGUGAGGCAAAACUUCAUUGUCGAGAGGGGAAUAACCCAGACCGCCAGCUAAGGCCCCCAAGUCGGGGCUCAGUGUAUAGUAAGGUGGUGGGAUCGCGACGACAACCAGAAGGUUGGCUUGAGAGCAGCCAUCCUCUUACGAGUGCGUACAAGCUCACUGGCCGAGCGAUCCUGCGCCGAAAAUACACGGGACUAAGCCCCGCGCCGAAGCCGCGGACUACCUUCUAAUCUCCCUAUAAGGGGGAGGAUGGAGGUGGUAGUAGGGGAGCGUUCUUGUGUGCAGCGAAGCCGGAUCGUGAGGACCGGUGGAGCGCACAGAAGUGAGAAUGCUGGGACGAGUAGCGUAAAACACGUGCAAAACGUGUUCGCCGAAAUGCCCAAGGUUUCCGACGCAACGUUACUCGGCGUCGGGUUAGUCGGGCCUAAGCUGAGGGCAUGUAGCCGUAGGCGAUGGACAACGGGUUAAUACUCCCGUACCACGUCGGGUCGUUUGAGCAAAGGGGUGACGCAGGCUGGCAAGCCAGCCGGUUAGCGGAUUCCGGUGCGAAGCUUGUAGGGAGAUGAAGGCGGCAGGAAAACCCACUGCCUGAUCCCGAGGAGCGAUAGCGAUGCCGCGCGAGCGGCCAGUGGCCGGCCCAGCCUGCCAAGAAAAGCCUCUAGUGAGACCCACGUGCCCGUACCGCAUUACCGACACCGGUGGGCGGGUAGAGUAUACCAAGGCGAUCGGGAGAACCCUCGUUAAGGAAUUCGGCAAAUCGAGUCCGUAACUUCGGGAUAAGGACUGCCUCUGGGCGUGUAGCGGCCAGCCCGUGAAGCGCCUGGAGGUCGCAGAGAGCAGGCCCUGCCGACUGUUUAACAAAAACACAAGUCUCUGCUAAAGCGAAAGCUGAGGUAUAGGGGCUGAUACCUGCCCAGCGCCGGUUAGCCAAGGGGACGGGUCCUCUUCCGUAAAGGCGGAGGGGGGCUCUGAACCGAAGCCCCGGUUAGCGGCGGCCGUAAAGAUAACGGUCCUAAGGUAGCACAAUACCCAGACGGGCAAGUUCCGUCGCGCAUGAACGGUGUAACGAGCGGGGCGCUGUCUCGACGAGGGACCCGGCGAAACUGAAGUAGGCGUGAAGAUGCGUCUUACCCGCAGCGGGAUGAAAAUACCCCGUGGAGCUUUACUGCAGCUUGGUAUUGGGUCGGGGCGUCGUCUGUCGAGGAUAGGUGGGAGGCUGUGAAGCCGGAGCGCCAACUCCGGCGGAGCCAACGUUGGAAUACCACCCUCUCGACAUCCUGGCCCUAACUCCUGCCGCAAUCCGGCAGGAGGACAGUGCCUGGUGGGCAGUUUGACUGGGGCGGUCGCCUCCUAAAAGGUAACGGAGGUGUCCAAAGGUUCCCUCAGGCUGAAUGGAAACCAGCCGUUGAAUAUAAAGGCAUAAGGGAGCCUGACUGCAAGGCAGGCAAGCCGAGCAGAGACGAAAGUCGGGCUUAGUGAUCCCACGGUACCGUGUGGAAGGGCCGUGGCUUAUCGGACAAAAGCUACCCCGGGGAUAAGGGGGCGGUCUUGCCCGAGAGGUCCCAUCGACGGCAAGGUUCGCUACCUCGAUGUCGGCUCGUCACAUCCUGGGGCUGGAGCAGGUCCCAAGGGUUCGGCUGUUCGCCGAUUAAAGUGGCUCGCGAGCUGGAAACAGAACGUCGUGAGAUGGUUCGGUCUCUAUCUGCUGCGGGCGCAGGUGACUUGAGGGGAGCUGCCCCUAGUACGAGAGGACCGGGGCGGACAGACCUCUGGUGUACCAGUUGUGCCGCCAGGCGCAUCGCUGGGUAGUUACGUCUGGACGGGAUAACCGCUGAAGGCAUCUAAGCGGGAAGCCUCCCCCAAGAUCAGGUCACCCACCGGGACAACCGGGUAAGGCCCCUGGUAGACGACCAGGUUGAUAGGCGGCAGGUGUAAGACCGUAAGGCUUUGAGCCGAGCCGCACUAAUGGCUGAGGGCUUGAU